This 253-nucleotide ribosomal RNA is filed under the name uncultured bacterium. RNAcentral's name for it is "partial 16S ribosomal RNA". It matches the Rfam family "Bacterial small subunit ribosomal RNA", at positions 524 to 776 of the family's 1533-position model. The record is from RNAcentral.
UACGUAGGGUGCAGGCGUUAAUCGGAAUUACUGGGCGUAAAGCGCACGUAGGCGGAUUGUUAAGUCAGGGGUGAAAUCCUGGAGCUCAACUCCAGAACUGCCUUUGAUACUGGCGAUCUCGAGUCCGGGAGAGGUGAGUGGAACUGCGAGUGUAGAGGUGAAAUUCGUAGAUAUUCGCAAGAACACCAGUGGCGAAGGCGGCUCACUGGCCCGGUACUGACGCUGAGGUGCGAAAGCGUGGGGAGCAAACAGG